Molecule: ribosomal RNA, 466 nt
Filed under: uncultured bacterium
Lineage: Bacteria
Description: partial 16S ribosomal RNA
Rfam family: Bacterial small subunit ribosomal RNA
Source: RNAcentral
GAUGAACGCUGGCGGCGUGCUUAACACAUGCAAGUCGAACGAUGAAGCCCAGCUUGCUGGGUGGAUUAGUGGCGAACGGGUGAGUAACACGUGAGUAACCUGCCCUUAACUCUGGGAUAAGCCUGGUCAACUGGGUCUAAUACCGGAUAGGAGCGUCCACCGCAUGGUGGGUGUUGGAAAGAUUGAUCGGUUUUGGGUGGCCUCGCGGCCUAUCAGCUUGUUGGUGAGGUAAUGGCUGACCAAGGCGACGGCGGGUAGCCGGCCUGAGAAGGGGAACGGCCACAAUGGGCCUGCGACAGGGACCAGACGCCUACGGGAGGCAGCAGUGGGGAAUAUUGCACAAUGGGCGCAAGCCUGAUGCAGCGACGCCGCGUGAGGGAUGACGGCCUUCGGGUUGUAAACCUCUUUCAGUAGGGAAGAAGCGAAAGUGACGGUACCUGCAGAAGAAGCACCGGCUAACUACGUG